GAUCAUGCCCCCAGACACUCUGCUCCAAAAGUUUUUUCCUCUUUCCAGGUUUUUUGUUUCAAACGGAAGUCCCAGUCUUCAUUCUUGAACAGUAAUGAAGAUAUUAUUAAGAGUUCAAGGUUAAGUACAAAUAUGUUUUGUUGUGGUCUUUCUACAGAUAUUUUUAUUUUUUAUUUGUGUUUGAGCUGUGAGAUUGUGUUGCUAAUCAUUCUGACCGGUGAGGAGAUGCUUCUGCGAGGCAGUCUUAUCUCCUGGACUGUACUGCGGACUGUACUGUUUCAUAACUUGACUGUCAAACUUGGCAGUCUGAUUACACUAAGAGUACAAUAUUAUAAUUGCUCAACUGUGUAACUGCAGCCAGAGAAAAUCCUCAGCUGACAAACUUUAUUGAAUGCUGAUUACUUCUGUUAAUGAAAUCUAUGUUGUAUCAAUGAUUCCAACUGUUUAAAUGUAAUAUUGUAUAAGAAUGUUGUGUAUUUUUGGACUAAAUUUUAAGAAAUAUGGAUGAUGUGGUACAAUAAAGGAAAUAAUUAGUUUAAGAAUGUUUGUUAAAACAGCAAUCUUUUGAAGAAUAAAAAUCUACAGUAUUUAUCAUGAGGUGAAUGUUAAAUGAAAAUAGUUACUAGGAUAUUGUUGUAAAUGUAAUGUUUUUGUGCAUUGAAUGAUAAUCAAUGAAUUACCUCGUACUAUAAUGUAGUGAAAAAAUGUGCAAUGAAUGAAUGCGAAAGCAAUUAUAUUGUAAACACAAUUGAAUGAAUUAUUUUUGUAAAAUUGUGUGAGUGAAUAUUGAAUUCAAAAUGUUUUAAGUAAAUUGCAUUUUAAAUCACAACGAGCAGACAGUAAAAUUACUGAUUUUGUAAAGCAGUGGCAGGGUUAGUUUAUUUUGUUAAAGACAUUGGCAUGGUAUAUAAGUAUUUUUUGUUGUGUAACGUGGCAAGAACUGAGUGUUAAUUUGUAAAACAUAGUGGCAAGGCAUGUGAAUGGUUGUAUUCCAAUGGCUGUGAGCAUGAAAUCACCUGGCCUUGUGCUGAAGUCAUCUUCUGUGAACUGAUCAACCAGAUGUAUACCUCUAAUUAAUUGUGUCUUAGCCAAGAUAACUUGGACCUGCGUCACAGAGAGUCAUUGAUGAUCAACUAGGUAGUAGGACACACUUCACAGAUGGGACCUCUUUACAUUAUCUGGCUGGAAUUUAAAGAGCCGAGACUACCAUCAGGAAUAUCUUCCAUGUAAUAACACUAACCCUGAUUGUUGCUACCAUGACUUCCACACAGUAACAUUGAAACGGAACAUUGUUGCUGAGUCUACUGCACAGUAAUGCUGAUUAGGACAUUGCUAUUUUGUGUUUUCACGCAGUAACACUUAUCCAGAUUGUUGCUACUGAGUAGUCCACACAGGAAAAACACACAGUAACGCCGACUUAGGAUGUUGCUAAAAAGUCUUCCAUGCAGUAACAAGAACCCGAAAGUUUGUUUUGUUUUUCUAUCAUCUGGAAAAUUCAGACAGAUGAUAGAAGUAAUACCAGUCAUGUCAAUAAGCAUAAUACACUCUUUAGUAUCUGUUAAUAUUAACACUCCCGAUACUGAAAGCUCGGAUCUGCUAAACAUUGGAAAGAAAGCCAAGAUUAACUAUUUUGCAAUUCACUGUGUGUGACAUAAAGUAACAUUUAGUUCGAAGGUGAUUGUGAAAACUCACUGAAUGUGACAGAUGACAGUGAAAGAAAGACGGUUAUACUCACUAGUAAAACUCAAAUCAUGUUUAAAAGUGACUGUAGGUAUAGUAAAAUUGAGAAUACAUGUUUUCAUUGUUAAAUGUCAAAAAAUAAAGUGUAACUGAUUGUUCCAAUGUAUUUAUAUCAUUUGGUUGAAACAAUUAUCUAAAGACAAAAACUAGACCAACCUUUUGAUUUUUGAGUGGUUAGUAGUUGCAUACAUUUCCCACAAAAGACCAAGGGAUCCCCCUUUUGGAAGUCUGCAAUCUCCCUUGAUUCACACACACAUGUAUGCUGGCAUUCAUACAGUACAAUGUGCUAAACGUACAGAACAAACCUGUUAUGUAUGCAUUUUUACAUUUAUUAUGUCUCCCACAUGUAGUGAGGGUGACAUAUUGAUUAAGUGCUGUCUGUCAUAAAGUUUGUCCACCUAACUCCAACACCAGUGGGGGAUUUACACCAAACUUCCCAGGAGCAAUCAUUUCAAAGCUUAGUUGUGCAUAUUGUUGGUAUUUUCCCGAUUGAUGAUUUUCAGCAGAGUUAUGGUCCUUGAUUCAGCAAAUGUUAUCUUUUGGCCACUUAAAUUAUUGGGUGGAUUUCCACCAAAUCUCACAGGAGUAGUCAGUGCCAAGCAUCAUUGUGCAAAUUUUCCAAUUCGAUGAUUUUCAGCUGGGUUACGGCCCUCAAUUCGCCCAGUCUUAUGUUUCGGCUACUUCCCUUAUAUUUUUGGGUGGAAUGCCACAAAUCCUUGCAGGCAAUAUCAGUACCAAGCCUCAUUGUGCAUACUGUCAGCAUGUUGUGGUUCAGUGAGUUUCAGUGGAAUUAUGGUCCUUGAUUGGUCUAUUUUACCUUGUGCGGGCAACUACUCCAAUACCACAAGGAGGAAUUUCACGAAACUUCACAUGAGUGAUUAUUGCCAAGCCUAGUUGUGCAUAGCGUUAGUACGUUCCAGUCUGGUGUUUUCCAGCUGAGUUGUGGCCCCUGAUUUGUCAAAUUUAAUGAUGUUAUAACCACCUAUCCUAAAUAA
Long non-coding RNA from Mercenaria mercenaria, 2735 nucleotides. RefSeq lists it as uncharacterized. The record is from RefSeq and is a predicted model, not a curated record. The transcript is spliced from 3 exons. Lineage: Eukaryota; Metazoa; Mollusca; Bivalvia; Venerida; Veneridae.